CCAAUAAAAAAGGCUGAACAUUU
RNAcentral lists this non-coding RNA (23 nucleotides) under Cricetulus griseus (Chinese hamster). The record is from RNAcentral. Lineage: Eukaryota; Metazoa; Chordata; Mammalia; Rodentia; Cricetidae.